RNAcentral lists this ribosomal RNA (253 nucleotides) under uncultured bacterium. Its description in RNAcentral is "partial 16S ribosomal RNA". It matches the Rfam family "Bacterial small subunit ribosomal RNA", at positions 524 to 776 of the family's 1533-position model. The record is from RNAcentral.
UACGAAGGGGGCUAGCGUUGUUCGGAAUUACUGGGCGUAAAGGGCGCGUAGGCGGCGUGUCAAGUCAGGCGUGAAAGCCCCGGGCUCAACCUGGGAACCGCACUUGAGACUGGCAUGCUCGAGUUCGGGAGAGGAUGGUGGAAUUCCCAGUGUAGAGGUGAAAUUCGUAGAUAUUGGGAAGAACACCGAUGGCGAAGGCAGCCAUCUGGACCGACACUGACGCUGAGGCGCGAAAGCGUGGGGAGCAAACAGG